UCACUUACCUGGACGAGGUCAAUGGGUGAUCAAGAAGGUCCAUGGCCUAGGUUGGUGACCUCCAUUGCACUUUGGAGGGGUGCCUGCCUAAGGUCGGCCCAAGUGGUCGAGCCUACGUCAUAAUUUGUGGCAGUGGAGGCCUGCGUCCGCGCGGCCUCUAC
Non-coding RNA from Helianthus annuus (common sunflower), 161 nucleotides. The record is from Rfam. Lineage: Eukaryota; Viridiplantae; Streptophyta; Magnoliopsida; Asterales; Asteraceae.